This 1346-nucleotide ribosomal RNA is filed under the name uncultured bacterium. RNAcentral describes it as "partial 16S ribosomal RNA". It matches the Rfam family "Bacterial small subunit ribosomal RNA", at positions 28 to 1381 of the family's 1533-position model. The record is from RNAcentral.
GACGAACGCUGGCGGCGUGCUUAACACAUGCAAGUCGAACGGAAAGGCCCUGCUUUUGUGGGGUGCUCGAGUGGCGAACGGGUGAGUAACACGUGAGUAACCUGCCCUUGACUUUGGGAUAACUUCAGGAAACUGGGGCUAAUACCGGAUAGGAGCUCCUGCUGCAUGGUGGGGGUUGGAAAGUUUCGGCGGUUGGGGAUGGACUCGCGGCUUAUCAGCUUGUUGGUGGGGUAGUGGCUUACCAAGGCUUUGACGGGUAGCCGGCCUGAGAGGGUGACCGGCCACAUUGGGACUGAGAUACGGCCCAGACUCCUACGGGAGGCAGCAGUGGGGAAUAUUGCACAAUGGGCGGAAGCCUGAUGCAGCAACGCCGCGUGCGGGAUGACGGCCUUCGGGUUGUAAACCGCUUUCGCCUGUGACGAAGCGUGAGUGACGGUAAUGGGUAAAGAAGCACCGGCUAACUACGUGCCAGCAGCCGCGGUGAUACGUAGGGUGCGAGCGUUGUCCGGAUUUAUUGGGCGUAAAGGGCUCGUAGGUGGUUGAUCGCGUCGGAAGUGUAAUCUUGGGGCUUAACCCUGAGCGUGCUUUCGAUACGGGUUGACUUGAGGAAGGUAGGGGAGAAUGGAAUUCCUGGUGGAGCGGUGGAAUGCGCAGAUAUCAGGAGGAACACCAGUGGCGAAGGCGGUUCUCUGGGCCUUUCCUGACGCUGAGGAGCGAAAGCGUGGGGAGCGAACAGGCUUAGAUACCCUGGUAGUCCACGCUGUAAACGGUGGGUACUAGGUGUGGGGUCCAUUCCACGGGUUCCGUGCCGUAGCUAACGCUUUAAGUACCCCGCCUGGGGAGUACGGCCGCAAGGCUAAAACUCAAAGGAAUUGACGGGGCCCCGCACAAGCGGCGGAGCAUGCGGAUUAAUUCGAUGCAACGCGUAGAACCUUACCUGGGUUUGACAUGGAUCGGGAGUGCUCAGAGAUGGGUGUGCCUCUUUUGGGGUCGGUUCACAGGUGGUGCAUGGCUGUCGUCAGCUCAUGUCGUGAGAUGUUGGGUUAAGUCCCGCAACGAGCGCAACCCUUGUUCAUUGUUGCUAGCACGUUAUGGUGGGGACUCAGUGGAGACCGCCGGGGUCAACUCGGAGGAAGGUGGGGAUGACGUCAAGUCAUCAUGCCCCUUAUGUCCAGGGCUUCACGCAUGCUACAAUGGCUGGUACAGAGAGUGGCGAGCCUGUGAGGGUGAGCGAAUCUCGGAAAGCCGGUCUCAGUUCGGAUUGGGGUCUGCAACUCGACCUCAUGAAGUCGGAAUCGCUAGUAAUCGCAGAUCAGCAACGCUGCGGUGAAUACGUUCCCGGGGCU